This 73-nucleotide transfer RNA is filed under the name Lachnospiraceae bacterium. Its description in RNAcentral is "tRNA-Val". It matches the Rfam family "tRNA". Rfam says of the family: Transfer RNA (tRNA) molecules are approximately 80 nucleotides in length. Their secondary structure includes four short double-helical elements and three loops (D, anti-codon, and T loops). Lineage: Bacteria; Bacillati; Bacillota; Clostridia; Lachnospirales; Lachnospiraceae. The record is from RNAcentral.
GGGGUCUUAGCUCAGCUGGGAGAGCAUCUGCCUUACAAACAGAGGGUCAUAGGUUCGAGCCCUAUAGGCCCCA